GGAUUGUAGCUCAGUGGUAGAGCACUUGCCUCGCAUGCAUGAGGCACUGAGUUCGAUUUUCAGCACCA
RNAcentral lists this transfer RNA (68 nucleotides) under Marmota monax (woodchuck). RNAcentral's name for it is "tRNA.Ala". The stretch from base 5 to 65 matches the Rfam family "tRNA", at positions 6 to 65 of the family's 71-position model. Rfam says of the family: Transfer RNA (tRNA) molecules are approximately 80 nucleotides in length. Their secondary structure includes four short double-helical elements and three loops (D, anti-codon, and T loops). Further hydrogen bonds mediate the characteristic L-shaped molecular structure. tRNAs have two regions of fundamental functional importance: the anti-codon, which is responsible for specific mRNA codon recognition, and the 3' end, to which the tRNAs corresponding amino acid is attached (by aminoacyl-tRNA synthetases). tRNAs cope with the degeneracy of the genetic code in two manners: having more than one tRNA (with a specific anti-codon) for a particular amino acid; and 'wobble' base-pairing, i.e. permitting non-standard base-pairing at the 3rd anti-codon position. The record is from RNAcentral. Lineage: Eukaryota; Metazoa; Chordata; Mammalia; Rodentia; Sciuridae.